UGCCGUGCCCUGACCUCUCGCUCACUGA
Molecule: non-coding RNA, 28 nt
Filed under: Homo sapiens (human)
Lineage: Eukaryota; Metazoa; Chordata; Mammalia; Primates; Hominidae
Source: RNAcentral